UCGUCGAGUUUGAACGACCUCUGCCGGACAAUGCUUAGUUCCGGAGAGGUUGAGGUUUGUUGUACCGAAGUGUCCGCUCUCGCUACGUAUGCUUUCUAGACGGACCUGACUAUUUAAGACCCCGGCGCUUCUUUCCCUUUGUACACGGACACGUCGUUCUCCGUAGAAGAUGACGUAGAUUUCGAUUUCGCGGUUCAUGACGGGGUGGCGGUUGCGAAUUGUCGUUUUUACCUUUCGGUCGGUUGGGUCCGCCGUUCCGAGGUUUCGCCACUUAUGGCCUAAGUGUGUAUGUAAAAUUUUGAGAGUACACCUAACUAUUACUAGACCUGUAGUAAACCGCACGAAACAGAUACUUUAUUAUGUAUAUGGUUUCUGAGAUUAUCAUACAUUCUUCAAUUCUCCACCUUUUCUUUAUACCUAGCUAGAUAACGUACAAACAUCAAACAUGCAGGAACCACCUAAAACAGUGACAGGAUUCAAGUACAUAACCAUAACAUAACUUAAGUGUAGAUAAUAAUUUAAACCUAACAU
Molecule: ribosomal RNA, 531 nt
Filed under: Triticum aestivum (bread wheat)
Lineage: Eukaryota; Viridiplantae; Streptophyta; Magnoliopsida; Poales; Poaceae
Description: partial small subunit ribosomal RNA
Source: RNAcentral